This 757-nucleotide non-coding RNA is filed under the name Triticum urartu. RNAcentral describes it as "Bacterial small subunit ribosomal RNA". It matches the Rfam family "Bacterial small subunit ribosomal RNA", at positions 44 to 767 of the family's 1533-position model. Lineage: Eukaryota; Viridiplantae; Streptophyta; Magnoliopsida; Poales; Poaceae. The record is from Rfam by way of RNAcentral.
UUGCUUCAAAACUAUAGGGCAUGUGCUGCGGCUUUGACCUAACGGCCUCCGUUUGCUGGAAUUAAUCGGAAUAGGUGAGAACAAAGUGACGAACGGAUGCGUAAUGCGUGGGAACCUGUUGAAUAGUUUGGGCCGAAUCCUGAAGAAAGUUCAAAGCGUUGUUUGAUGAGCCUGCGUAGUAUUAGUUAGUUGGUCAGGUAAAGGCUGGCCAAGCCAAUGAUGCUUAGCUGGUCUUUUUGAACGAUUAGCCACACUGGGACUGAGACACGACCCAGACUCCCAUGGGGGGCAGCAGAGGGGAAUCUUGGACAAUGGGCGAAAGCCCAAUCCAGCAAUCUCGCGUGAGUGAAGAAGGUCAAUGCUCCUUGUAAAGCUCUUACGUCGAGUGCACGAUCACGAUAGAAUAGAGGAAGAAGCCCCGGCUAACUGUGUGCCAGCAGCCGCGCUAAGACAAGGGGUGGGGGGCAAGUACUCUUUGGAAUGACUGGGCGUAAAGGGCAUGUAGGCGGUGAAUCGGGUUGAAAGUGAAACUGUGAAAGUCAUAAAAAGUGGUGGAAUGCUCUCGAAACCAAUUCACUUAAGUGAGACAAAGGAGAAAGUGGUGGAAUGCUCUCGAAACCAAUUCAUUUAAGUGAGACAAAGGAGAGUGGAUGGUCUUCUAUUCGUCCCUAUAUACAUUGUGAGGGACUAAAGUUUUUUCUGAAAGGAAAAGAGAUUAAAGUUGAAACAGACGCUCACUUCUAUGAACACGUGGACA